Molecule: ribosomal RNA, 771 nt
Filed under: Plasmopara obducens
Lineage: Eukaryota; Oomycota; Peronosporomycetes; Peronosporales; Peronosporaceae
Description: LSU rRNA
Rfam family: Eukaryotic large subunit ribosomal RNA
Source: RNAcentral
UGAGGAAAAGAAACUAACAAGGAUUCCCCUAGUAACGGCGAGUGAAGCGGGAUGAGCUCAAGCUUAAAAUCUCCGUGCAAUUUUUGCACGGCGAAUUGUAGUCUAUAGAGGCGUGGUCAGUAUAAGCACUUGGGGUAAGUUCCUUGGAAAAGGACAGCAUGGAGGGUGAUACUCCCGUUCAUCUCUAAGUUGCUUGUGCGUACGACCCGUUUUCUUUGAGUCGCGUUGUUUGAGAAUGCAGCGCAAAGUAGGUGGUAAAUUCCAUCUAAAGCUAAAUAUUGGUGCGAGACCGAUAGCAAACAAGUACCGUGAGGGAAAGAUGAAAAGAACUUUGAAAAUAGAGUUAAAGAGUACCUGAAACUGCUGAAAGGGAACCAAAUCGUUUCCAGUGUCUAUAAUCCGUGGUAUAUUUCAUUGGCGAGUGUGUGCGUGCGUGUGCUGUUGCAGUAGCUUUUUGGCUGCGCUCAGUGUGUGUGCUGUGUGUACUUGCUGGUGCCCUGUGCUACGGUGGGACGUCAAGGUCAGUUCGUAUGCUGCGGGAAAUGGCUACUGAGGAGGUAGGGCUUACGCUUGCGUUUGUCUGUUAUAUCUUGGUGGACGAGUCGUCGCGGUUGGGACUGAGGUGCCUACAACGUGCUUUUGAGUGGGCUUGGGUCUCCGUGUGCGCCGUGUGCGGAUAGCUUGCUAUGCGUGUGUGGUUGUAUGUGGAUUGAUGCGAGCCGUAACUUGUAGUCGUUCGGGACGUUGACGAAAUGGAGCGAUUUGACCCGU